AACGAACGCUGGCGGCAUGCCUAACACAUGCAAGUCGAACGAGAUCUUCGGGUCUAGUGGCGCACGGGUGCGUAACGCGUGGGAAUCUGCCCGUUGGUUCGGAAUAACAGUUGGAAACGACUGCUAAAACCGGAUGAUGACGAAAGUCCAAAGAUUUAUCGCCAGAGGAUGAGCCCGCGUAGGAUUAGCUAGGUGGUGUGGUAAAGGCGCACCAAGGCGACGAUCGUUAGCUGGUCUGAGAGGAUGAUCAGCCACACUGGGACUGAGACACGGCCCAGACUCCUACGGGAGGCAGCAGUGGGGAAUAUUGGACAAUGGGCGAAAGCCUGAUCCAGCAAUGCCGCGUGAGUGAUGAAGGCCGUAGGGUUGUAAAGCUCUUUUACCCGGGAUGAUAAUGACAGUACCGGGAGAAUAAGCUCCGGCUAACUCCGUGCCAGCCGCCGCGGUAA
Molecule: ribosomal RNA, 449 nt
Filed under: uncultured bacterium
Lineage: Bacteria
Description: partial 16S ribosomal RNA
Rfam family: Bacterial small subunit ribosomal RNA
Source: RNAcentral